RNAcentral lists this long non-coding RNA (321 nucleotides) under Panax ginseng (ginseng). RNAcentral describes it as "long non-coding RNA (PGIN_LNC006114)". The record is from RNAcentral. Lineage: Eukaryota; Viridiplantae; Streptophyta; Magnoliopsida; Apiales; Araliaceae.
GGGUCUUACAUAUAUUUUGUGUGUGUGUGUGUGUAGACAUAGGUGUAGGUGUUUGUUUGAAUGGAGUCGAAAGUAAAAAGACACCACCACAUACCAAAACCUGAAGAGCAUGGCAACAACCCAGUGGUGAUGGUGUUGUUGUUUCUUAAACAAAAACAAAAGUUGGCUAUUGUUUUGGGUGCAAUUGUCGUGGUAUUCCUUUUUACGUAUUUGGCUCUUUUGACCACCAGCCAAAAUGCGCAACAUAUUAACCUGCGCCAGGAUCCUCCGGCUCAAACAUUCUACGACGAUCCCAAUUUAAACUAUUCCAUUGAAAAUACU